This is a long non-coding RNA of Rhododendron vialii, 357 nucleotides long. RefSeq lists it as uncharacterized. The record is from RefSeq and is a predicted model, not a curated record. The transcript is spliced from 3 exons. Lineage: Eukaryota; Viridiplantae; Streptophyta; Magnoliopsida; Ericales; Ericaceae.
CACAAGGGUGAGAGAGAAGGCUGGGGAUUGAAAAUCCUUACUUGGCGACAACGAGUAUCAUGACUCCACGUAGGGAAUGACUUUGUUGGUAUCUUUCUGUUGGAAAUGGAGGUAUAGGGGUCGGUGUUCACUACAUGUCACGUUUUGGGAAUUGUACUCGCUCGGGACGUAGGAGGUUGAGGCCUGUGGGAGUUUUGCCUCUUGGCCCGUAGUUGAUGUUUGUUUGUUUUAGUUGUGGACAAUAGUUGGAUAUGUAUGAUUUAUUUCUUUUCAGACUUUCGCUGUUGAUUUUAAAUGACAGUUGUUUUUGAGAUAUAUUUAAGAAUGGCUAUUUAACCUCGUUUGGGCGUAUCUUUU